RNAcentral lists this ribosomal RNA (377 nucleotides) under uncultured bacterium. RNAcentral's name for it is "bacterial SSU rRNA". It matches the Rfam family "Bacterial small subunit ribosomal RNA", at positions 518 to 898 of the family's 1533-position model. The record is from RNAcentral.
CGGUAAUACGGAGGAUCCAAGCGUUAUCCGGAAUCAUUGGGUUUAAAGGGUCCGUAGGCGGUCAGGAUGCUCAGUGGUAGGCCAUUAGCGCUCAACGGUGGAACGGCCAUUGAUACUGUCUGACCCAAGCCAUUAGGAAGUAACUAGAAUAUGUAGUGUAGCGGUGAAAUGCUACUUAGGAGCAUGGAAUACCAAUUGCGAAGGCAGGUUACUACUAAUAUAUUGACGCUGAUGGACGAAAGCGUGGGUAGCGAACAGGAUUAGAUACCCUGGUAGUCUGCGCCGUAAACGAUGGAUACUAGCUGUUGGGAGCAAUCUCAGUGGCUAAGCGAAAGUGAUAAGUAUCCCACCUGGAGGAGUACGAACGUGGAUUUGAA